AACGAACGCUGGCGGCAUGCCUAACACAUGCAAGUCGAACGAGACCUUCGGGUCUAGUGGCGCACGGGUGCGUAACGCGUGGGAACCUGCCCUUAGGUUCGGAAUAACUCCCCGAAAGGGGUGCUAAUACCGGAUAAUGUCUUCGGACCAAAGAUUUAUCGCCUUUGGAUGGGCCCGCGUUGGAUUAGCUAGUUGGUAGGGUAAAAGCCUACCAAGGCGACGAUCCAAAGCUGGUCUGAGAGGAUGAUCAGCCACACUGGGACUGAGACACGGCCCAGACUCCUACGGGAGGCAGCAGUGGGGAAUAUUGGACAAUGGGCGAAAGCCUGAUCCAGCAAUGCCGCGUGAGUGAUGAAGGCCUUAGGGUUGUAAAGCUCUUUUACCCGGGAUGAUAAUGACAGUACCGGGAGAAUAAGCGCCGGCUAACUCCGUG
This 433-nucleotide ribosomal RNA is filed under the name uncultured bacterium. RNAcentral's name for it is "partial 16S ribosomal RNA". It matches the Rfam family "Bacterial small subunit ribosomal RNA", at positions 29 to 507 of the family's 1533-position model. The record is from RNAcentral.